Molecule: long non-coding RNA, 543 nt
Filed under: Cricetulus griseus (Chinese hamster)
Lineage: Eukaryota; Metazoa; Chordata; Mammalia; Rodentia; Cricetidae
Description: lncRNA (ENSCGRG00000026242.1)
Source: RNAcentral
UUCUUAUUCUAGCUAUUUCUCUGUUGAUGUGAUCAACACUAUGACCAAAAGCAACUUGAGAAAAGGGUUUACUUUAUUUUCCAGUUACAGUCCAUCAUCAAGGGAACCCAAGGAAGGAACUUGAAGGAGAACCUGAAUAAAUGUCACAUGCAACAGAUCUCAGAGAGGUUAAGGAACCCCAAUCUGUGAAAUAUAGAAAGGAGCACUGAUUACUGACUUGUCCUCUGGCUCAUGUUUGUCUACCUUUCUUAAAGAGUCCAGGUCCAUUUGCUUAAGUGCUGAGGCAUCUACAGGAUAUUGGUUCCUCCUCCCAUCGAUUAGCAAUUAAAACAGUGCUCAACAGACACACACAAAGGCCAAUCCAAUGGAGGCAGUUCCCAGGUGUGCCAUGUGCCAUGUUAACAAUAGGUCAGCACCAGUUAAGGAAGCAGUUUACAUGGCUCUGUGAAGAAAACAGGCUGGGGACAAGGUGACAAGAUGCUUCUUUGGCUUUGCUUUCCUGAUGAUGACAUUGAUUUAUGACGGUGCCUACAGCCAGGCCUG